UUCCCAGGGAAGAGUUUUCUAACGUUGCACCAUCGAAAUGGACUGGCAAAAUGACUCUCCAGACAUGGAUGAACUCUUUUCUAUUAAGGAUGGUUACAUCUUGAGCAAAAGAGGAAAACUGCUGCCUUGUAUUAAACUGAAUUCUAAGUGGUAAAAAAGAUAACUCCGUCUUCCUUCCGGAAACUUGGCAUGACCCCUGGCUCUGACUGGGAGCUUCUCCUCUCUGUUCCCACGGUGUCCUGUGAACCCAUCAACCACACCACUUACAGCACAAUGGUGAAACCACUGACCAGCAUGCCCGUCCUCUCUCCCACACUAUACACUCUAUCCUAUUCAUCUCUGGCAUUCUAACAUCUGGGCAGAGCCUGUUUCCUAGCAAUGGGCUCAGGCUGGGUAAAAUCACCUGGAACAAAAUGUCAUGGGUCCCUUCCUGCUCUGUGAGUAUCCUGCCAUUCGCACACUUAUCCACCCUGCCUGCUCCUCCCCUUGGCCGGCAGCCUAAGGACUAUUAAUACAGAACAGCGUGAUCAGCUCCCACGGCCUUUGCCCAUGACCACCUGCCACAUCGCUUUCAGCAUCACGCUCCGCUUUCAGUACAAAACGGGAAGGAAAAGUGGCACGGGCAACACAGCAACUGAAAUGUGGUCGCAGGGCCUUCACCGUCUUGCACAGUGGAAGAAACCUGUGUGUGAUGUGAAAGCUCCAUGUAAAAAGCAGUCACGAAGCUGCGGUAUUGGAAGGAUCUGCACAUCAUCUGGCAAUCAGCAAGGAAUGGACCAACAAAGAGGGAGCUCAGAGGAACAGACACACAGAAGAGAUCCUUGAGUAGAGAUGCCGCCUCGCAAUCUUCACUUCUGAGAACAAGGGAGUAAUCAUAGGCCAAUCUUGGGAAAUGCACCCAGAAAGGAAGUAUCUAGAAGUAUGGUUUAGAGGAAGACUGCAGUGGGGAAGAAUGAAAUAGAACAACAAUAAGAACAGCAUCACUGGGGCAUAAACUGACAGAAGACGUGGAAGGGCUCACACUCCACACGUGACACAAAAUUCCAAUCAGCUAUAUCCUCAGGGUAAAACUGAAUGGCAUAACAUCCUGAAUGUGUCCGAUCUCGUCUACAGCCUGAAUUGGACCAAAGACCAAAGUCCACACCCCUCAAUCUCCCCCAGUCUUUAGUUGUAAUAAUAUAAAUAGUUUAUAUCCACCAUAUUUUCCCUUGUAUCGGGAUAGUGGAUAAUUGUUUUGCUGACCAGAGUAGAUGCUGAGUCCCUAGAGGAAAGGGAUCAUGUGUUUUAUUCAUCUUUGUAUUUUCACUCUCUCUUCCUUCCCCAAUGCUUAUUCCCUCUCUUCCUUGCACACAGUAGAUAUACAAAUGUAUUCAAAUGCAUUGAAUCCAAGCUUUCCAGCCAACAUUAAAUCUGAUGUUGGCAAAGAAAUAGGAUAGGAAGCUAUACCAGAAAAGUCCCUGAGAUGUAAUUCUUCUGUAAGUCUAAAUUUAGAGGGGGGUGGGGGGGAGGAGGUAAUUCUGACUAUCUUAGCAAGGUCAUAUGGGGUGAGGAACAAUGGAAGACCUUUACACUUAAGCCAUCUUUGACCCAACCUUGCUUUUAGAAUAGAACUGAACGUAACAAUCCAUCAGCAGCCAAAGGAUGACAUAAAAGGAUGCCCUUGAUGUUCAACAUUCCUAAAUUCCUUCUCGUACUAUGAAGGCAAAGAGAUCUAUAAUCAUCUCUUCCUAGUUUGAAGAUUUCCAGGGACUACUCAUGUUGCAAGCCAGUAAUUCCAUCCAAUCUAAGAUGCCUCAUUAAUCACUAAGAAUUUGAAAAGGUCCUGACAAGAGAUCUCUUAACUUCAGAAUUGUUAAGAUCUUUUCAACUGUUGGACGCCAACCCUUGCCCAAUUAGUUUCCCUGACAAUUUCUGCAUCUAGUGCCCUCAGAGUGGGGACACAGUGACAUCUCUCACAUCUUUAAUUCUGGAAGUAUUCUUCCUUCCUCAAAGUACUGACCCAAUAAAUGGUCUCUGAGACAUCCGUUGAAGAGUCCAUGAUAGCCGUCUUCACAAUGAAUUAAAGAACGUCAUUUCCUAAUACCAUUUCAGGCAUAAUUAUUCUGCUACUAACCAUCGUUGUACUCUGUUCGAGCUCAGGGAGAAAACAGUCCAGGGCAAUUUCAGGGCCUUUGUAGUGUUCAUUAAUCUUUCAACAAUCUGAGCAUACUGUCAAGAACUGAGCAGGGACCCGAUUCCAUAGCCAUGAUAAAGAUUUUAGGCUUUUUGUAUCAUCUGAACCAGUCCUAUAAUCCUCUGCUUAAAUCAGGUACAAAGACAUAAUAGAUGCAGUCCCAAUCCUGGAUUGCUUUAAACUAAACAAAUGUAUUUGCCAGCCACUGUCCAACCCUUGAAUAUUUAAUACCAAAUAAGCCCCUUCUAAAGAUCAAAUCGUUAGGCUGCCACUUAGGCAUGUUUUGUAGCUGAUUCAUCAUGGAGGACCCACCGGGAUACUGUUCUAUUUAAAGUCAGCUAUUGCACUGGACCAAGCCAAAGUCUUAUCUUGCUCAAGGCAUUAAAUUCUUAGUAUUUCUCCUAUUUUCCAACAGGAGUAAUUUUUUCCCAUCUCACUGGGGCAGAAUUCAGAUAUCUCAAUCGAGUCACAAAGCGAUGCAGAAGAUUCACGGUUCUUUAUAGGCAUCCUUUCAGCCGCUGCUUGUCAGGAGAGAGCCUGGGCCUCCAGGGAAGAGUAGAAGGCAAGGUCCUAUCCAUGUAACAAUGCUGGGAGCCACCUUCAUAACUAGCAGCAGCAUAACCAGCUCUCACUUCAAGCAGCCCAGAAUGAAUAGAAAAUUCAGUCCUGACUACAAUCCAGCACUAGUCAAUGGCUCACCGAAGACGCCUGAUGUUUGUGAGACAGAAAGAGGUCUUGCUAACCCUUCCCCAUAGUUCCAACACUGCACUUGUGUUAAGACAAUGAAGAUCAAUAGAGGGAACAUUUAACUUGGUCCCGAGAAGAAAUAUCAUCAUUGGGCUGUACUGGGGGGGUACACAUUCAUCCUUUCCCCAAGGUCAAAGCUGGGGCAGCCCAUUUAAUCAGUCCUUGUAUCAACUGAAAAAGUGUACCAUGAGGAUGUUGGCCAGGGGGUUACGCAGUGUCUGUUUCAUAAGGACCCUGGAAAUAAACUCCUGAGUAUCCAAACUCAUAGUAAGAAAAAUAAGAAAAACAGUGUAACAUGGGUGUUUUCCCAUUUUACCUCAUCUGUCACAAAAUUUGGCAAAAUUCAGUAUUUAAUCAGAGUGAUUUUAAUGAGAUCACUUGCAAUGCCUAUUCAUUUGCCUCCUUCUAAAUGAUAUUUGUUCUGUUUUAUCCUUUAAGUAUGUUGUAUCCAAUCUCAUAAACUGCUUCAAACCAUAUGCUAAAAAUAAUAUAUAUAAGAUAUGCCA
Molecule: long non-coding RNA, 3426 nt
Organism: Felis catus (domestic cat)
Lineage: Eukaryota; Metazoa; Chordata; Mammalia; Carnivora; Felidae
Exons: 6
Source: RefSeq, a predicted model, not a curated record